AUUUCUUAUGCGGCUAAAUGCCUCCUCAGCUUCCCCAGUGAAGAGAUGUGGACUGGUUGUAUACAAGUAGGCUUGAGAAAGUCCAUUACAAUCUCGGGUAGAAACUUCUCGUCCAUUCAUUGUAGUUCUUCUUCCGCUCAUCCCGAUCCAUCUUUCUCUAAGAAUAGGUUGAUCAAUAAUUCCAACAAUCGGUUUUCCCUUGUGCAGAAGUGCAAUUAGAGUACCAAACAACGGUUUGCCUGUAAUGAAGCUUUUAGUCCCAUCAAUCGGAUCCAG
RNAcentral lists this unclassified non-coding RNA (276 nucleotides) under Hevea brasiliensis (rubber tree). The record is from RNAcentral. Lineage: Eukaryota; Viridiplantae; Streptophyta; Magnoliopsida; Malpighiales; Euphorbiaceae.